CUUUCUUUAAACCAUUCUGGGUGAGAACAGCUAGCAUCUGGACUCGCCAGAUAGCAAAGCUGAUUUUACCAUCAAAUUUCUCAAUAUCCAAUUUUGACAUUAUUGAACAAUAGAUCCUGGUUGAAUUAUCGAAAAGCUUUGAUGCCAAUUUGUAGGGAUAUCGUGUGCGGAAGCGUAAUAAUUUCAACCAAAGAUUAUGAGAAAUUAAAGUAACAAGUAAAGUGAGAAUGAUACCAGAAA
RNAcentral lists this long non-coding RNA (240 nucleotides) under Phaseolus vulgaris (common bean). Its description in RNAcentral is "long non-coding RNA (PVUL_LNC001817)". Lineage: Eukaryota; Viridiplantae; Streptophyta; Magnoliopsida; Fabales; Fabaceae. The record is from RNAcentral.